CUUCAUAUUUAGUGUAAAUCCAAACAGCAACGCUCCUGAGUUUGUGUCCCACGUCACCUUCAGUCCGCUCAGAGCAGAGGAAUCAUUUCCAUAGAGAGGAGGCUUUGCAUCGUCAGCUGAUCCUCCACUGAACUGAGAAGCUUUAUAGUCCUGUGACUCCAACUCUGCAGGACUCAGACCCGUCAGUCGACCACAACCACCAUGACUCUCAUCACCCUCCUCAUCUGGACGCUGGCCUGCUGCAGCUUCACAGGAUGCAGCGGCCAGGUGACUGUGACUCAGCCUCCAGUCGUGACAUUUACUCCAGGAUCCACUGUCACACUGACCUGUAAAACCAACCCGCUGUUUAUAGCAAUAAUUUUUUGUUCUGGUACCAGCAGAAACCUGGACAGGCUCCCAAGCUUCUUAUAAAGUAUGCAACAGCUCUUAAUUCAGGAACUCCCUCUCGAUUCAGUGGCAGUGGCUCUGGUUCUAGCUUCACCUUAACCAUCAGCGGUGUUCAGGCUGAAGAUGUUGGAGAUUAUUACUGUCAGAGUUAUCAUAGCGGUCCAGUGUUCACACAGUGAUUUAGAGCCGUACAAAAACCUCCCUCAGUUUAACUGAAGUGAAACUGGUCUGCUGCAGCUGCACAGAAAAUAACUGGUCCAGUAAACACAACACAAGUCUUGAAGCAGAGCGACAAUGAAGCUAAACACAACUGAAACAAACUCCCAGUUUUAAAUGUUCAAAAAUCUCCAAACAAAGCCCCAUGAAACCAACUUUGUCAAAUGUAUGUUUUUUCCUUUAUUUAAUAGACUUUAUACAUCACUAUCCUGUAUGUGGAUGCACCGGUCUGCACUUUAUCAUUUUGAUGAAAUAAUUUUUGUUUGAAGAUUGUAGUGAUGUGGUUCAUGUGUUUCUUUGUAGGGGGGUGUUUGGGUCAAUGUAGGCUCCCCAGGUCCCUUUUGCCUGAGGCCCCUAAAGUCCCUUGAAACACCCCUGGAGUCCCACAAAUGAGUUUUCAUGGUGAUUCUCUGGUGGAGCAGUGAACGCUGCGUUGACCGGCCGAGUUGCACGUGUUGUAAACGGAGCUGUAUCGUAAAAAACCUGCCUCAACUAGUUGCUCUACAGAAUGAGUUCUAAUAGAAAACUACAAUAAACACAGAGAAUAUAUACGAUGUAUUAUAAAACACAUUGAGCUCAUACAACCAGCACAUCCUGCAAGUUUAAAACCAGAAUAAUCAGAAAAUUGUGGUUAUUUAUCAAUUUCAUUUUGUGACUAAAUGCUGCCAGAUAUUUAUUUAUCGACUUUGAUUGUCAUUUACAUUCUGUUACACUACAUCAAAUAGUUAAUUGAUGAUUAUUAUAAUCACACAUUCAAAAGUGUAUUACCAUUAAGCACUCACACAUCAGAACAUGGAUGGAACAGAAUAUCUAAUUAACUCUGAUGCUAAAUGUGUAAUUUCCCUUUAAUUUCUGACGUAAAGUUUUUAAGUCUGUCACUAUACUAAUAUUAAUUAUGAGGAAAGUCCUACAAACUACUAAUGUGAUACGUUUGUGAUAAUAAUUUUUGUCAUAAUUUUUUUCAAUGUUCAACUCAAAAGUCAGAAACUUGAUUUUCAUGCAGAUCCACACAAUAGAAAUUACUGUCUAAGUAGAAGUAAAACACAGAUUUACAUUAAUAUCUUUUGCCGCAGAAAAAAUAACACAGAAGCAGAUGUUGGUGAUGAUAUAUUUUAUUUUAGUACAAUAAAAAUAGAAAUUUGAAGAACAAAUGACAUGAGAAGAUGAAAUAUUUAUUCUUGUUUCAAAAGUAGCACAAUACAGCAUUGGACUGUCAUAAUGAGUUGAAGAAAAGACAUGAAGACAUGCAGAGCUGCAGUAGAACACAUGUAAAUCAAACGGACCCACAGUAGAGCACAAUGACUCCAUCCGGUCGUCUCUCUACUCUGAGCAGAGGUCAGGGUCCAGGGUUUGAGUGACAGGGCUCUGUCCGUCCAGACUGGCCUCACAGCUCACUGAGCACGCCUUCCUCCACUUCUCUACUGGGAGGCUCAAGGUGCUGCUCCAGCUGUAGUGGCCGCCCCCCCCCAGGACCCCCGGGCUGUGAGACACCCCUGAGGAACUGCUGCUGCCCCCCACCUUCCAGCCCAGGCUCCAGGCUGAGGGGAAGCCCCCGCUGGCCAUACACACCAGAGUGACACUGCCCUGCUGCAGCUCUUCACUGGAGGGGGGGAGGAGGGUCAGGGUGGGCCGCACCACACCCACUGGAGGAGAGAGAGGGGAG
Non-coding RNA from Pleuronectes platessa (European plaice), 2266 nucleotides. Lineage: Eukaryota; Metazoa; Chordata; Actinopteri; Pleuronectiformes; Pleuronectidae. The record is from the annotation of a RefSeq genome assembly.